AAACCAUGCAACGGGCAUUUUCGCAACAAGUCUUUAAACCUCUCACAUGCUUCAUAAAAUUUUUCAUCUUCCAUUUUAUUGAAAGAUGUGAUGUUGUUUCUUAGCCU
Molecule: small nucleolar RNA, 107 nt
Organism: Hibiscus syriacus
Lineage: Eukaryota; Viridiplantae; Streptophyta; Magnoliopsida; Malvales; Malvaceae
Source: RefSeq, a predicted model, not a curated record